CUACUUGCCAAAGGUAGAACUAAUAAUCAACCCAUGUAGGCACAUGGUUUAGGGGAUGUCCAAGGAAGUUCAUUGUGCCUAAUCUCAUACUCAACUAGGCCACCUUCCUAACCACAUCCACUCGGUGCUAGCCUUGUUUCCCAUAGAGUAUUCAAUCACAUAUGUACUUAGAGAGGGUUCCUUUUCUAGUUCAACCAACUCAUAGUACCUCUUCCCAAGAAAGGCCCCAUUUCUUAGUCAUGGCCAAUCAAGGUUCAUAAGGAUAGCUCAUUUAACUUUCUUAGAUAAGGAUUCCCAUGCUGUUCCG
RNAcentral lists this long non-coding RNA (307 nucleotides) under Solanum tuberosum (potato). Its description in RNAcentral is "long non-coding RNA (STUB_LNC009504)". The record is from RNAcentral. Lineage: Eukaryota; Viridiplantae; Streptophyta; Magnoliopsida; Solanales; Solanaceae.